Maylandia zebra (zebra mbuna) is the source of this 342-nucleotide non-coding RNA. NCBI's taxonomy places the organism in Eukaryota, Metazoa, Chordata, Actinopteri, Cichliformes, Cichlidae. The record is from RefSeq and is a predicted model, not a curated record.
ACCCUCGCAGGCGCCUGCGGACAGACUGUGUGGCGGUUCCGCCGAUACAAUGCAGGCUCAGACAGACAGACUACGGUGGAUUUACCGUGUAUUUGCUAACGGCUCAUGCUCUGAGGAAGAGGGCGGCUUUACUUGGCGUCAGUGACAGAAAUGAGAAAAAGCUGAAAUGAGUGAGAAGGACGAUGAAGGAAACAUCUGUGCUGUGUCUGCUCUACCUUGGUGGAUCUGCAGGGGGAACUGAGGAUGUCAAUUAUGGACGAAUCAUCAACAAAUCAUCAAGAGAGAGAAGAGAAACAGUCAAAGAAAACCACAGACUCAGAGGAAGAGGGCGACUUUACUUGG